AUUGAACGCUGGCGGCAGGCCUAACACAUGCAAGUCGAGCGGAGCGGCGGACGGGUGAGUAAUUCCUAGGCAUCUGCCUGGUAGUGGGGGAUAACGUCCGGAAACGGGCGCUAAUACCGCAUACUUUCAGAUGAGCCUUGGUCGGAUUAGCUAGUUGGUGGGGUAAAGGCCUACCAAGGCGACGAUCCGUAACUGGUCUGAGAGGAUGAGCAGUCAACCUGGAAAUGGAACACGGGACAGACUGCUAAGGGAGGCAGCAGUGGGGAAUAGUGGACAAUGGGGGAAAGCCUGAUCCAGCCAUGCCGGGUGUGGGAAGAAGGUCGUCGGAUUGUAAAGCACAUUAAGUUGGGGGGCGUUACCAACAGAAUAAGCACCGGCUAACUGCGUGCCAGCAGCCGGGGUAAUUC
Molecule: ribosomal RNA, 407 nt
Filed under: uncultured bacterium
Lineage: Bacteria
Description: partial 16S ribosomal RNA
Rfam family: Bacterial small subunit ribosomal RNA
Source: RNAcentral